This 349-nucleotide unclassified non-coding RNA is filed under the name soil metagenome. RNAcentral's name for it is "partial contains 5.8S ribosomal RNA, internal transcribed spacer 2, and large subunit ribosomal RNA". The stretch from base 1 to 120 matches the Rfam family "5.8S ribosomal RNA", at positions 35 to 154 of the family's 154-position model. The record is from RNAcentral.
GAUGAAGAACGCAGCGAAACGCGAUACGUAAUGUGAAUUGCAGAAUUCAGUGAAUCAUCGAAUCUUUGAACGCACAUUGCGCCCGCCAGUAUUCUGGCGGGCAUGCCUGUCCGAGCGUCAUUUCAACCCUCGAACCCCUCCGGGGGGUCGGCGUUGGGGAUCGGCCCUUUACGGGGCCGGCCCCGAAAUACAGUGGCGGUCUCGCCGCAGCCUCUCCUGCGCAGUAGUUUGCACACUCGCAUCGGGAGCGCGGCGCGUCCACAGCCGUUAAACACCCCAAACUUCUGAAAUGUUGACCUCGGAUCAGGUAGGAAUACCCGCUGAACUUAAGCAUAUCAAUAAGCGAGGA